RNAcentral lists this long non-coding RNA (972 nucleotides) under Gadus morhua (Atlantic cod). RNAcentral's name for it is "lncRNA (ENSGMOG00000031467.1)". The record is from RNAcentral. Lineage: Eukaryota; Metazoa; Chordata; Actinopteri; Gadiformes; Gadidae.
AUGCUCGUGAAGGACUUGUACAGGAAGAAGGAAUUUGACCAAUGGGCUGAAAGGUUUAUCAAGAGGCUGCUUGGAUACCAGGAACAGGCCAAGCAGUUUAAUACCACAAGUAUACAAGAGUUUGGUCAGCAGCUGUGUGAGCUAGAGGAGGUGGUCCGCACGUUGGCACCGGUGAUGCUUGGUUACCAUGGGAAACGGCAGGAGGAGGAGCUGAUGAAGGCAGUGGAAGAGUUCAGGAUCAGGAUGGAGGAGACGGCGAGCGCCACCAAUCACACCCAGAGGAAGCAUUCCAGCCAGCUGAAAGUGCGCCUGGGACAUCCAGCAUGUAAAGAGGAGCUAGAUGCCCUGAGGAGGAGAGAGGAGGACAGACAGAGCCAGUACCGCAGCAGAAUCAACAGGAUUUAUGAAGAACUACAGGAGUGGAUGCAGGCCAGACAGGAGGACGUCACAGCAUCCCUGUUGUCCCUGACAGAGAGUUUAGUUUGCCAAGUGGACAACCUCCUUACAUUGGAGCUUUCAGAACAGCUCCCUACUCCAGACACUGAAGCUGGAAAGGAUUUGCUAAUGCCCAACAGCGUCCAGACAGCCAACAGGAUUGGGGCAGGACUUCCUAUCUCACAGUCCCUUGUUGAAGAUACGACAGCAUCCACGGUAACCAUGGCUACCGAAGACAAAACCCUUAUGACCAUGGCCAAUGCAACGUCCGCUGUAACCAUGGAAACAAGCUCAUCUAGUCAAACAACUAUAGAACCCUGUGUUGAUGCCACGGCAACAGCUGGUUCUGUCAGCAGCCCGAUACACCAGGAAAUCCUCCUACACAGAGACAGAGCUUUGAAGCGCUAUGAGGACGUCUCCAAGGCAGAGUCAGAGCGCUUCAGGAUGGACAGAGAGCGACUGCUGAUCCAGCUGCAGAGAUGGACUCACCAUUGGCAGCAACAGAUAAACACUUUGAGCACGCUCAAAACAGAGUAG